RNAcentral lists this ribosomal RNA (402 nucleotides) under uncultured bacterium. RNAcentral's name for it is "bacterial SSU rRNA". It matches the Rfam family "Bacterial small subunit ribosomal RNA", at positions 355 to 774 of the family's 1533-position model. The record is from RNAcentral.
UGGGGAAUCUUGCACAAUGGGGGAAACCCUGAUGCAGCGACGCCGCGUGAACGAUGAAGCCCUUCGGGGUGUAAAGUUCUUUCGACAGGAACGGUAAUGACGGUACCUGGAGAAGAAGCUGCGGCUAACUACGUGCCAGCAGCCGCGGUAAUACGUAGGCAGCGAGCGCUGUUCGGAGUUACUGGGCGUAAAGAGUGCGUAGGCGGCGAGCCAAGUUUGGUGUGAAAUCUCCCGGCUUAACCGGGAGGGUGCGCCGAAAACUGGUUGGCUGGAGUAUGGGAGAGGAAAGCGGAAUUCCUGGUGUAGCGGUGAAAUGCGUAGAUAUCAGGAGGAACACCUGCGGUGUAGACAGCUUUCUGGACCAAAACUGACGCUGAGGCACGAAAGCGUGGGUAGCAAACA